RNAcentral lists this non-coding RNA (93 nucleotides) under unclassified sequences. RNAcentral's name for it is "RT-17 RNA". It matches the Rfam family "RT-17 RNA". From Rfam's summary of the family: Bacteroidales (Bacteroidetes), Clostridiales (Firmicutes). The record is from Rfam by way of RNAcentral.
AACCGCACCCCACGGUGAAAAAUACACUGAUUAAAGAAGUGCUGGUAGACAUACACGUAUGGCCGAAGGCAGGGACUUAGGAAAAGCAGACAA